AAAUCUUGUUAUCAUUUUGUGCAAAGGAGUGGGCAAUCUAUAGUUGUCUUCAUCUAUGAUCUAUGUACCCUAUCUAUGUAUAGUAUGUAUAGUAUGUAGUCUGUGUAUGUACCAUAGAGAAAGUAAAAUAAUUAUUUUACUUACUCUAUGGUAUGUACUAGACCUCGUCAUCUGGUGGACAAGCGUUUCAGUGACGAAAUGGUUGACUGCUUCAGUAUUGAAGAACAAUCAAUUAGUAAAAUUAAAAUUACGGUCUGGUAGAAAUGCAAGUGGCCUUCCUCGAGCUUCUUUGGAAACAGUCAAGAUUCUUUUUUUAGACUGCGUGAAAAGUUUAAUAAACAAGUCGUACUGAGAAAUCGCUUUGCUCCGUAUCAAAGACGUGGCAAAAGUGCUGCCAGUGCGGUUUGUUGAACGGUGUGUGCUUGAAAACGUUGCACACAUCUGAAAGAUAAGCCAAAUUGCAAUUGUCUUGCUAGCCACGCUCUGGUUCUGCUUUAGCGUUUCGGUUGCUGGGGCUGACGAUUACUGCUUCAAAGGAGGAAAAGACAACGAAAAACAGGCCAGAAUUCACCAUGCCAGAGCACACUACUGUAACAGUAACUGGACCACCAAUGCGGCCAGCAGGAUCUUGUCCUGUUUGUGGAGGAGGUUCUUGGACUGGAACCUACUCGUGCAUGGCAUGGCUGCUCUGUUUAUUCUGCUUCUGGAAUUGUGGACUUUGCUGCUGCCUCUGCAUGCGCAAAAAGAAGUGCACCAAGUGCGGAUUUGCUGUUGCAUAAGUCCGAAACAGCAUUACUUAUUAAUUACGUAUAACUGUUAGUUUUAACUUGUUUUUCGGUGCUGUAUACACAUACAUUUCGCAAAGAACCACUAUUCGCUUCUGUCCAGUAUUAAUAGGUUUUACUUCCUUCGAAGUAUUGUAAUUUGUGCUCUACAAAGACGGCGAACCGAGAAAUUGUACUUUUGUCAACUUUGCCUUUGUCGCCAAAUGCCACUUCGUUAGCCUACUGUGCUAGUUUUAAGUAAUUUUUUUAAAAUAAACAACAUUUUAAACCUA
Dendroctonus ponderosae (mountain pine beetle) is the source of this 1057-nucleotide long non-coding RNA. RefSeq lists it as uncharacterized. NCBI's taxonomy places the organism in Eukaryota, Metazoa, Arthropoda, Insecta, Coleoptera, Curculionidae. The record is from RefSeq and is a predicted model, not a curated record. The transcript has 2 exons.